Molecule: long non-coding RNA, 237 nt
Filed under: Homo sapiens (human)
Lineage: Eukaryota; Metazoa; Chordata; Mammalia; Primates; Hominidae
Description: non-protein coding lnc-MAGOH-1:1
Source: RNAcentral
GAGGGGGAGCAGGCCUGCAGCCCCAGAAGCACCCAGAGGGCCUGUGGGUAGAUUUGAAUAAAGGUGGUCCAUGGGAGUGGCUUCCCAGGGAGAAGGCAAGCCCCAGAACUGGACAGGGAAGAAAGCAAACCAUGUUGGACUCGCAAUCAGUGAUGAUCUAGAGCAGAGGUCAUCAAAAUACAGGCCACAGGCCUGGCCUGUCACCAGUUUUUUGUAAAUAAAGUUUUAUUGAAACAU